RNAcentral lists this ribosomal RNA (279 nucleotides) under uncultured bacterium. Its description in RNAcentral is "partial 16S ribosomal RNA". It matches the Rfam family "Bacterial small subunit ribosomal RNA", at positions 506 to 784 of the family's 1533-position model. The record is from RNAcentral.
UGCCAGCCGCCGCGGUAAUACGAAGGGGGCUAGCGUUGUUCGGAAUCACUGGGCGUAAAGCGUAUGUAGGCGGAUCAAAAAGUUAGAUGUGAAAUCCCUGGGCUCAACCCAGGAACUGCAUUUAAAACUAGUGAUCUAGAAUUUGGUAGGGGCCAGUAGAAUUUCCAGUGUAGAGGUGAAAUUCGUAGAUAUUGGAAAGAAUACCAGUGGCGAAGGCGACUGGCUGGGCCAUUUUUGACGCUGAGGUGCGAAAGCGUGGGUAGCGAACAGGAUUAGAUA